GACGAACGCUGGCGGCGUGCCUAAUACAUGCAAGUUGAGCGCUGAAGGUUGGUACUUGUACCCACUGGAUGAGCAGCGAACGGGUGAGUAACGCGUGGGGAAUCUGCCUUUGAGCGGGGGACAACAUUUGGAAACGAAUGCUAAUACCGCAUAAAAACUUUAAACACAAGUUUUAAGUUUGAAAGUUGCAAUUGCAUCACUCAAAGAUGAUCCCGCGUUGUAUUAGCUAGUUGGUGAGGUAAAGGCUCACCAAGGCGAUGAUACAUAGCCGACCUGAGAGGGUGAUCGGCCACAUUGGGACUGGGACACGGCCCAAACUCCUACGGGAGGCAGCAGUAGGGGAUCUUCGGCCAUGGACGAAAGUCUGACCGAGCAACGCCGCGUGAGUGAAGAAGGUUUUCGGAUCGUAAAACUCUGUUGGUAGAGAAGAACGUUGGUGGGAGUGGAAAGCUCAUCAAGUGACGGUAACUACCCAGAAAGGGACGGCUAACUACGUG
This 497-nucleotide ribosomal RNA is filed under the name uncultured bacterium. RNAcentral's name for it is "partial 16S ribosomal RNA". It matches the Rfam family "Bacterial small subunit ribosomal RNA", at positions 28 to 507 of the family's 1533-position model. The record is from RNAcentral.